CACAGUUUCUUCAUCUCCUUCUUCAAUAGGAUUCCCUCCAAAUACCACGUUCACUGUACUGGUAUAUAUCAGCCUAGGGAUAUUUCUUUGUUUGCAGACAUCAAUUAUGACUUCAGUGCCACCAACAUUUAUGGAUUCAAUCUGCUCUUUCUUUUGAAGUUGUUCUAAUCCUGACAUUCCACAAGCAGCCACAUGAAAAACACAGUCAGCCCCUUCACAUGCUUUGAGCACUGCUUCAUAAUCC
This 244-nucleotide long non-coding RNA is filed under the name Gallus gallus (chicken). Lineage: Eukaryota; Metazoa; Chordata; Aves; Galliformes; Phasianidae. The record is from RNAcentral.